GACGAACGCGUGGCGGCGUGCCUAAUACAUGCAAGUCGAGCGAGUGAGUUGAAAGGAUAGCUUGCUAUUUUCAUGAAGAGCGGCGAACGGGUGAGUAACGCGUGGGAAAUCUGCCGAGUAGCGGGGGACAACGUUUGGAAACGAACGCUAAUACCGCAUAACAAUGAGAAUCGCAUGAUUCUUAUUUGAAAGAAGCAAUUGCUUCACUACUUGAUGAUCCCGCGUUGUAUUAGCUAGUUGGUGAGGUAACGGCUCACCAAGGCGACGAUGCGUAGCCGACCUGAGAGGGUGACCGGCCACACUGGGACUGAGACACGGCCCAG
RNAcentral lists this ribosomal RNA (323 nucleotides) under uncultured bacterium. Its description in RNAcentral is "bacterial SSU rRNA". It matches the Rfam family "Bacterial small subunit ribosomal RNA", at positions 28 to 334 of the family's 1533-position model. The record is from RNAcentral.